RNAcentral lists this ribosomal RNA (317 nucleotides) under uncultured eukaryote. RNAcentral describes it as "partial 18S ribosomal RNA". It matches the Rfam family "Eukaryotic small subunit ribosomal RNA", at positions 1470 to 1796 of the family's 1831-position model. The record is from RNAcentral.
CCCUUAGAUGUCCGGGGCCGCACGCGCGCUACACUGAAGGAAUCAGCGUGGCUCUGUCCCUGGUCCGAAAGGAUUGGGAAACCCGUUGAAUCUCCUUCGUGAUAGGGAUUGGGGCUUGGAACUGUUCCCCAUGAACGAGGAAUUCCCAGUAAGCGCGAGUCAUAAGCUCGCGUUGAUUACGUCCCUGCCCUUUGUACACACCGCCCGUCGCACCUACCGAUUGAAUGGUCCGGUGAAGCCUCCGGAUUGGCGCGCACCUCGGUGCCGCCGAGAAGUUGGCUAAACCUUACCAUUUAGAGGAAGGUGAANUCGUAACA